GAUGAACGCUGGCGGCGUGCCUAAUACAUGCAAGUCGAGCGAACGGACGAGAAGCUUGCUUUUCUGAUGUUAGCGGCGGACGGGUGAGUAACACGUGGAUAACCUACCUAUAAGACUGGGAUAACUUCGGGAAGCCGGAGCUAAUACCGGAUAAUAUUUUGAACCGCAUGGUUCAUAAGUGAAAGACGGUCUUGCUGUCACUUAUAGAUGGAUCCGCGCUGCAUUAGCUAGUUGGUAAGGUAACGGCUUACCAAGGCAACGAUGCAUAGCCGACCUGAGAGGGUGAUCGGCCACACUGGAACUGAGACACGGUCCAGACUCCUACGGGAGGCAGCAGUAGGGAAUCUUCCGCAAUGGGCGAAAGCCUGACGGAGCAACGCCGCGUGAGUGAUGAAGGUCUUCGGAUCGUAAAACUCUGUUAUUAGGGAAGAACAUAUGUGUAAGUAACUGUGCACAUCUUGACGGUACCUAAUCAGAAAGCCACGGCUAACUACGUG
Molecule: ribosomal RNA, 497 nt
Filed under: uncultured bacterium
Lineage: Bacteria
Description: partial 16S ribosomal RNA
Rfam family: Bacterial small subunit ribosomal RNA
Source: RNAcentral